This 1847-nucleotide long non-coding RNA is filed under the name Nicotiana tabacum (common tobacco). RNAcentral describes it as "long non-coding RNA (NTAB_LNC015722)". The record is from RNAcentral. Lineage: Eukaryota; Viridiplantae; Streptophyta; Magnoliopsida; Solanales; Solanaceae.
UUCAUCGUCUCCAAGCUUGGAGACCUAAACCCUAGCGCCGCCCUAAUAUCCUCUCCGCCAUCUCUGCCGGCGGCGAGCCCCAAACCACCUCAAACUAACACCCUAGAACCCCCUCACUCCCCUCUUUCCAAAUCCACACUCCAUUACCCUCGAAUCUGUCCAUAACCCCUCGAAUCUUAGAUCCAAAUUCAAGCCUUAAAAGUUCAAAACCAGUUGCGGUCGAAUCUGGUGACAUUCAUCGACCCAGGAGUGCUUUUCUCAUGUUUGGAAGGUUGACUCACUACAAAGCUGAUGCUAAUCGUUAUUUCUUGACAGAGAAAAGCGACUGGUAUCAUUUUUGUAUGAGUCAAGAUAUCGAGUGUCAUUUCGAGUUUAGCUGGUAAGUUUCGUUUCAGUUUUGGGUCUGUUUAUGGUUUCAUUUUUACUUAUUGCCCCUCUUCUUUCUUUUCUUUUUCCUUAUUUGAAAUUUAACCAAAUUUUCGGCCAAGUUUGAGAUUUGUCAGUUUGGUUUUCGCUGCUUUUCCUUUUAUUCUUUUUGUUUCCAAGUCCGUUCUCAGGUCCUGCUUGAUUUGUUUGGUUUCUUUUGAUUAAAUAGCAUGGUUAUUGUUCCAAUUAGUCACCUAGUCAAUUUAAUUAGGGUUAUUUUGAUAACUUGGUUAAUUUCUUGCUCAUUUGUGUAAUCAGUUGAUUGGUAUAGGCUUAAUUCUCGGAAUUUUUCAAGUAUUUGCCCUUUGUUAGUUGUCUGGUUUGAUUUAAUCUAUCUAUGUUUGGGCUUUGAAGCCAUUACAGACCUCACCCCAAUGGGGGUUUAAUUUGGGUCAUUAUGUCAGAAUUGAGCCCACUUUUGGUUUCAUUAUCGGGUCAACUUGACCCAUUGGGUUUCAGGGGUAAUAACAGGGGUAGUCUAGGUUAAUUAGCAUAGGGAAUCUGGAUGUAACAACCUUAGGAAGCUUCAUAGAAAGGGGGGGGGGGGGUUUAGGACUAUUCUGAAAUGCUGAAAUUUACAACAGGGGCACCUAGGCUAAAAUGAAAGUUUCAGAAGGUGCAAAGUGUAAACCUGAUUUUCUUUAGGCUGCCCUAGUAGCUUGCCUAUAAAGGCAUCUUAACUUGACACUCAAGUCAGAAAAAUGGAGACAAAAUCUAGAGAAAACAAAAACCGCUGAAAAUUUCAAUAAAAUCAUUGUUUCAUUGAACUUCUUCUGUGAUUUUUGAAGUUUUCAAUUUCUGAAACAAUUUCUGAUUCAUCUCGGGUGGAAAUGGAUUGAAUUUGGAUUUGUAAAAGUUUGGUUUGAAGUUUGUUGUGUUAUUGUUCGAUUGAACUGUGUUUUUAGACUACUGCACAUCAUGUUUCUGGUUUGAAAUUGGUUUUACUUUUUAUUUCCUGCUGCUGAAGUUCUGGUUCUGCUGCUGUCUACUGCUUUCCUCACUUCUUUUCCUUUCAAUUUCCAGGUAAAUCUGUAAACUAUGAAGGACAAGUGAUUGUAGAGUUGCAUUGUCGAGUGGAAAUUGAUUGAACAUGAAAUUGUUUGAACUUUGAUGCUCUGUUUCUUCUAUUUCUGUAUUAUUUCUGUAGGGAUUCUGAAAUUACACAUGUUAUUUCAGUUUUCUUUCCCCAUGCUUUAAUAUUUUGUAAAGACAAAUUAGUGCUAUUUGAAGGUGAGAGUAAAUGUUUGGGUUUAAAGUGAAUGUAAUGCUCAGGAGUUGAACAUAAGGACCGAUUAUAGUAAACUUAUGAUCAGUUGUGUUUUAAGUGUCGAUCUUAGUUUUUUGAAUGAAUUUAGUAUAUGAUAUAGUAUUUCAAUAUGUUGCUUUGGUUCCACAAGUUUACUAUGAGAAAUUGAUUUUGU